CAGGCCUAACACAUGCAAGUCGAACGAGCUGAGACCUUCGGGUCUCGAUGCUAGUGGCUCACGGGUGAGUAACGCGUGGGAACGUACCCUUUAGUACGGAAUAACCAAGGGAAACUUUGGCUAAUACCGUAUACGCCCUUCGGGGGAAAGAUUUAUCGCUAAAGGAUCGGCCCUCGUCUGAUUAGGUAGUUGGUGAGGUAACGGCUCACCAAGCCGACGAUCAGUAGCUGGUCUGAGAGGAUGAUCAGCCACACUGGGAGUGAGAGACGGCCCGGACUCCUACGGGAGGCAGCAGUGGGGAAUAUUGGACAAUGGGCGAAAGCCUGAUCCAGCCAUGCCGCGUGGGUGAAGAAGGCCUUCGGGUUGUAAAGCUCUUUCGACGGGGACGAUGAUGACGGUACCCGUAUAAGAAGCCCCGGCAAACUUCGUGCCAGCAGCCGCGGUAA
RNAcentral lists this ribosomal RNA (446 nucleotides) under uncultured bacterium. Its description in RNAcentral is "partial 16S ribosomal RNA". It matches the Rfam family "Bacterial small subunit ribosomal RNA", at positions 43 to 523 of the family's 1533-position model. The record is from RNAcentral.